GGUUUCUGGUGGUGGGCAUGCAACGGGCAGCCACUCCACCACAUUUUCUUCCUCAAUGUUUUCAAGCCUAUUGGACCUACACAUGGAGCCAUCGGAGUUUAUGGACACUGCAGCAAUCAGAAACAAGAAGAAAUAACUCAAUUUAAAAUUAAUGUGGAUGAAGAAAACAAGCUCAAGGGGCAGAUGAUGAUGAAGGAAGAAACAAUGCAGUUUUUCUGCAUUGACUUGUCAAAUUCAUCAAGUGCAGGAGGAGAUGGAUUGGCCUCCCUCUACUUCCUCAUUGCUUAUUCUUCAUUGGUAACUGGAAAGGUAUUUCAAAACCAAAGUGCUGGAAUUUUUCA
This is a non-coding RNA of Sesamum indicum (sesame), 341 nucleotides long. NCBI's taxonomy places the organism in Eukaryota, Viridiplantae, Streptophyta, Magnoliopsida, Lamiales, Pedaliaceae. The record is from RefSeq and is a predicted model, not a curated record.